AAAUGCGAUAAGUAGUGUGAAUUGCAGAAUUCAGUGAAUCAUCGAAUCUUUGAACGCACAUUGCGCCCCUUGGUAUUCCAUGGGGCAUGCCUGUUCGAGCGUCAUUUGUACCCUCAAGCUUUGCUUGGUGUUGGGCGUCUUGUCGGAAUAUCCGACGCGCCUUAAAUACAUUGGCAGCCGGCACUUUGGCCUAGGAGCGCAGCACAUUUUGCGAUCGUAAGCCGUUGUGACAGCAUCCAUAAGAUUUAUUUUACCACGUUUGACCUCGGAUCAGGUAGGGAUACCCGCUGAACUUAAGC
Molecule: unclassified non-coding RNA, 299 nt
Filed under: plant metagenome
Description: partial contains 5.8S ribosomal RNA, internal transcribed spacer 2, and large subunit ribosomal RNA
Rfam family: 5.8S ribosomal RNA (bases 1-104)
Source: RNAcentral